AAUGUAACAAACUAACAAUAAAUCUAUAAUAAUUAUUUAAAUAUAUUGUAUUAAAAAUAGAUAAUUAAAAAUAAAAAAAAUUACAAAAAAAACCAAAUAACCGAAUCGAACCGAAUCGAACCAAAAUUCUCAAUUCGGUUUCGAUUUGGUUCUUCUCCUAUUCGGAUCAUUUUUCAUUUUUCAUUUUUCUGUUAUAUAAGUUUCGGGUC
RNAcentral lists this long non-coding RNA (209 nucleotides) under Elaeis guineensis (African oil palm). Its description in RNAcentral is "long non-coding RNA (EGUI_LNC012814)". Lineage: Eukaryota; Viridiplantae; Streptophyta; Magnoliopsida; Arecales; Arecaceae. The record is from RNAcentral.